UUUUUUUUUGCCACCUCACAUCCUCUUUGUCGACAUGGGCCAAGGCAGUUAAACUUUGUUUGUGGCCCAUUUGAGAUCGUUGUGAUUUCUUCGUGAGACGAAUCCCCUCUAUAGCCAUCGUUUCUACUCCUCCAAAUCUUCGUUACUCUGAAUCAUUGAUUCUACUCUUUACACCUCCAUUCAAGAUGUAUCCUUUCACCUCCUUUUUUUCCUCCUGCUUCUGUAUAUUUCACUGACAUCUCCUCGGCCCAGCCGAUUCAGAACUAAGCUUUGAGCGUCUCCUUAUCCGACGAACAUCAAUGGCAACACAAAGAAGAGGAGGAGCGUUUUUUGAGGGAGCUAUUGAAGAAGAAGAGUGUGAAGGUGGAGAGAGAGAAGCUGCUAGCUUGAGAGUGAGACAAGAGAAGGCACUUGCUGUAACCUGAGUUAUAAUUUCUUUCUGACUUAUUUCUUAUACUUGGCUCAAUAAAGGUCACACUAUUACUUAGUGUAUGCAAAGAAAAUCAAUAUAUUUCACUUAUAUUGGUAUUCAAAACUUCGUGAGGGAACUUCAAGGUAGAUCUGCUCAGCCCUAUUUCCCGUUUGAACCUGCAGCUGGCAGCAAAAGAUUCUGCAGCCUAAUUGCAGGAUUUAUGAGGACAUACCACCGUAUUCCAAUUAAACAAGAUAACAUUGUCGUGUCUCCAUCAAGGGCUGUUGCAAUCGAGAGUGCAUUAUGGUUAUUCUCCCCUCGACUUGCAAUUGUUGAUGAGCAUUUAACUCGACAACUUCCAAGGAGCUGGCUAACUUCUUUAGCCAUUCAGGUAAAAUUCUAUUUCCGCAUCUGUUACUUUUACUUAGUUUUGAAAAGAAACGAUGGCUCGGAAUGCAUUUUAUGAGACUAUAAAAUUGCAUUUUACUUACUUUUACAAAUUGUAUUUCUGUCUCGAGAUCACUGACAUUCACAGAUUAUAGCGUAUGUCGGAUUGUCUUUUAAAACUAACAUACUCUGCUACUUCGCCCACUCAUGCACUAGAUUGUCAUACCUAUCAUUUCUGGUUCAUAGAACGGAUCAAAAUGACUUGACAAGGGAUUGCUGAAACCAAAGAGCUGUUUUACCAAUAUGGUGCUUCAGAGAUGCAAGAUGACAUUCCGGUCUAAUGCUUACAUUACUGGACUAAUUAUUAUUGGUGGACUGACUCUGUUUCCUUUUGCCCUCUUGGUCACAAAAUAAAGAUUGGAUCUUCAAGAAUUUUAUGUUGGUGAUGUUUUGAUGUCUUUUUCGAGGGAGGGAUAACAAGACCCUUGAUAAAGACGAAGGUGAUUGCAUUGAAGAUCCAGGAUACAGUGUUUGUUUUGAAUGAUCCAAAGAAUAUCAGUUAGCUGUUUGUUAGUGGUUUUUUUAAUAGGGGCUUUCAAGUGCUUCUGCCAUGGCCACUGCUUUGUAUUUGGAGAAAAAUCAUGUAGAUUAGUUGAGAGAUAUGGAGGCUAAAUUGUUUAUGGUUUUAAUUUUUGUUUUGUGUUUUGGAAUUUGAUGUAUAGUGUGCAGAGAGAGAUGUGUAGUGUUAAAUUUCAAAUGCUGUCUAUGUUGUAUUGUAUGGUUUUGUAUUCUUU
This is a long non-coding RNA of Raphanus sativus (radish), 1593 nucleotides long. RefSeq lists it as uncharacterized. The transcript is spliced from 3 exons. NCBI's taxonomy places the organism in Eukaryota, Viridiplantae, Streptophyta, Magnoliopsida, Brassicales, Brassicaceae. The record is from RefSeq and is a predicted model, not a curated record.